This is a long non-coding RNA of Symphalangus syndactylus (siamang), 5049 nucleotides long. RefSeq lists it as uncharacterized. Lineage: Eukaryota; Metazoa; Chordata; Mammalia; Primates; Hylobatidae. The record is from RefSeq and is a predicted model, not a curated record.
GAUGCUGAAAGCUCAGAGCUGAACAAGACCCCAGCUGCCCUCGGGAAGCAUGCAGUCUAGAGGGGAGAACACAGGACACCAUGAGACUCCCUCGCCAAGGGGAAAGGCCUUCUAUGGGACUUUAAAAAAAAUGCAGUGAUGCUGUACAGGGCAGCCAGGCCCCUCCUAGGCUAGCUGCUCUCCACGGUCUGCAGCCGAGCUCAUGGCCUCUCUCUGUGUCUCUCUUGGGACGUCAGCAGCACCCUAGAUGCACUGGAGGGCAGAUAGGAAGGAGUGAGCCCCUGGGAGGCCAGGUUUGGGCCACCCCCAGCAGAGAGGAGUAGCGGUGGCCCCAGAUUGGGUUGGAUGGUCAGUCUGGGGCAAGUCAGCCAGGAGACUCAAGAUCACUAUCAUUGGGUCUGUUCCACAGUGGGUAGCAGAGAAUGACAUUUGAGAACCAUCAUGCAUCACAGGAAGCCCACGGGGCUUAUCUCAGGGGCCCUGGAAAUGGGCCGGUCCAAAUGGUCACACACCAACUUGGAGCUCCUGUCCUGCUGCUCUCUGGGAAUCUGGGCACAUACUCCACAGUGAAUUUGGAAGGCCCAUUUAAAUGGCAGCUUUCAGUCAGAGUUUAAGGGGUGAUUGACAGGGAGACCCACCUGGAGCUGUGUCCUCAAGCCACAUUCCCUCGUCCUGCCCAUCACAGCGCUGCCACCACUGCCUCCUGCCCUCAGAGGGUGGCAGGCAGCCUCUGAGCUUCCUCCUUUCCUCUCUUCUGCCUUUCCUCCCUCCCCAUACCCCUCCACAGUUCCUGGAAUUAGUAAGGGAAUCCAGAAGAGUGAGGGGCUGAGAGCCCUCAGUGCCUGCAAAAGAACCUGGGUUUGUAAGGACAGCUGAGGCUGCAAAAGGACACAUCAUUUGAGCUCUUGUAGGGGCAGGGGGAUGUUCAGCACUGGGCUGUGACUAAUGGGGAUAAGGAAUAGCCUGUUUGCUGGUAUUUAGGGUACACUGGUCCCUAGAUAUCUCCUCCCACCCUGUACUACGGAAUUUUUUCAUGGGAAUCUCAUUUCUUUUUCUAGAGAUUAUUGGCUCCAUAGAAAUGCAGUCCUGGCCUCACUUGGCUACUGAGCCAUCCCAUAAACUUCAGUGACAUUGACAUUGAGUUUCUCGCACCCCCACCAAGAGCAGGGUUUGCUUGUUUGUUUGUUUUUGUUGUUGUUUUGAGACAGAAUCUUGCUCUGUCACCCAGGCUGGAAGUGCAGUGGCGCAAUCCUAGUUCACUGCAGCCUCAAUUUCCCAGGCUCAAGCGAUCCUCCCACCUCAGCCUCCCCAGUACCUGGGACCACAGGCAUGUGCCACCCACACAUAGCUUUUUUUUUGAGAUGGAGUUUCGCUCUUGUUGCCCAAGCUGGAGUGCAAUGGCACGAUCUCGGCUCACCGCAACCUCUGCCUCUUGGGUUCAAGCGAUUCUCCUGCCUCAGCCUUCUGAGUAGCUGGGAUCAGAGGCAUGCGCCACCACGCCCAUCUAAUUCUGUACUUUUAAUAGAGACCGGGUUUCUCCAUGUUGGUCAGGCUGGUCUCGAACUCCUGACCUCAGGUGAUCUGCCCACCUUGGCCUCCCAAAGUGCUGGAAUUAUAGGCGUGAGCCACCAUGCCCGGCCACACCUAGCUUUUAAACAAUUUUUUAUAGAGACAAGGUCUCGCUAUGUUGCUUAGGCUAGUUUCAAACCCCUGGGUUCUAGUGAUCCUCCUACCUCAGCCUCCCAAAGUGCUGGAAUUACAGGCAUGAGCCACCAUGCCUGGCCAGGAGCGGGUUUUAAUAAGGAAAAGAGGCCAGAAGAUGAGACACUUUGAGGAGAAGUGGAGAUGGGAGAAAGGGUUUCUUUCAUGAAUGGAGGGGCUCGUGCCUGUUAAUCAUCUAGCAUGUGCCAGGAGCUGUCCAGAGGCUGAGCUACAUAAUCCAAAUCCAUCUUCACAACAGUCCUAACUAGCUCCGUUUCACAGAUGAGGAUGUGGAGGCUCAGGGGAGAUAAUGUCCCUUAAUCAAGGUCACACAGCCAGGAGGUAGUGAAGUUAGGAUUCCUACCCAGAAGCCCUUGCUCUUCCUAGGUGCCCCUUCAGGGGUUGGGGUGGGCAUGAAUAAUAGGCGCACAUUUCACAACGUUGCCCCAGAAAGGUAGCAAUAUUGAACGGAUAGAGGGGACCUGACAGGCCACACAGCUGAGGCUCUGUUGCCUGAGGCAGCCAAGGCCUAAGUUCAUCAUCCAAGCAGCCAAGACCCACCACUCUCCAGAAGGCUUAGCAGGUCGUGCCUCAGGGGCUCCAAAAUGGCCAGGCAGGCUGAGAAAAUCUCCAAGCUGUGCAGUGGGGCCUGCAAUCCUGAAACCAGAAACCGCAACCCCACCCCCUCCCCAUGGCAGCAGGCCUAGGGGAGGGGAAUAGGCGUGCUGGGACCCCACAGCAGCCCUGUAGGGAAAGGAGGCACCUUGAAUCUAGCCAGAUGGGGAGGGGCAUCUGGUCUCAGCAUAACUCCCUGAUAGUAGCCCCUGGGAAAAGCACAGCCCCCUCUCAACCCCAGAGCCAGUUUCUCCUUGGAUCUGUAUACUUGGAGCAAAGCAUUACCCUAUUCCCCAGGCCUCCCCGCCUUUGCCACCCACACCUCUGGGCCCCUGGCAGGGACUGUGCCCUGGUCAGAACAGCUGGCAGCCCAUGUGCUUCCACCCCCACCUUCUCUCUGUUCCGGACUUUCAGGUCAUGACACAGGGGGAGGAAAAGAAGGCUGAGCUGGAAGUGGAACUUUGGCGGGAAAGGGGGCAUGGAUCCUUAGGAAUAUAAAGGGCCUCAGGUCCUGGCCAGAGACAUUUGCUGUGCUCCUCUGCACCUGCCCAGCACCAUGGUAAUGUCUGGUGGCCAAGUUAGGGCCCCCUAUCAGCUGUAUUCUCUAGGAGCUUGGGGAUGGGGGCUGGCACCAAGGGCCCUCCUCAGGCUCACUAAGGGCAUGAAGGAAUUAGGCCAGGGCAGCCUCGUCUGCCAUUCUGAUGGUCAGGACAGCUACUAGGGCCUCUUAUCCCUGCUUGGGGUGGUGGGGUGAGUGGAGUUCCCGGUUAAAAGAGGGUUGAGGGGCUUAGGAGCUCUGGGGGUGUGCAUCAUGUUUAUGGCAUCAUAGUCUGUGAAUCAUGGUGUGUUGCAGGCACAAAAUUCUCUGUGCAUUGGGUGUGUGAAUCAUCAGGCUGGCUUUCCUGUGUGUAACUGUUAGUCAUUCAUUUAAUAUGUAUUAUUGAGUAUCUGCUAAGUGCCAGGCACUGUUCUAGGUGCUUGUGAUACAUCAAUAGACAAAAUAAGCAAAGAGCCCAGCUGUAAUUAAUGAUGCCCACACUGAGGGAGGAGAUGCUGCUGGGAAGGGAUCGGACAUAAAUAUAAUAAGUAUAGAAUAUAUGUUAGAAAGUGUAGGCCGGGUGUGGCAGCUCAUACCUGUAAUCCCAGCACUUUGGGAGGCAAGGCAGGAUGAUCGCUUGAGGCCGGGAGUUUGAGACCAGCCUGGGCCACCUAGCAAGACUCCAUUUCUACAAAAAAUUAAAAUUUAGCUAGGCAUGGUCGUGUGCACCUUUAGACCUAGCUACUUGGGAGGCUGAAGCAAGAGGAUGGCCUGAGCCCAGGAGUUUGAGGCUGCCGUGAGCCAUGAUCCCGACACUAUACUGCAGCCUGGGCAACAAAGCAAGACCUUGUCUAAAAAAAAAAAGAAAAGAAAAGAAAAGAAAAAAGUGCAAAAAUAGAGCAAGAAAAAGAGCAAGAUGAGGGGUUGGGUUGCAAUUUUUUUAAAUUUAUUUUUUAAACUGUAGAGACAGGGCUCUCUGUCUUUUGCCCAGACUGGUCUGGAACUCAUGGGCUCAAGUGAUCCGCCCGCCUUGGCCUCCCAAAGUGCUGGGAUUACAGGCGUCAUCUACCGCACGCUGCCGGGUUGCAAUUUUAAACAGGGGUGUCAGGGCUAAGACCCAUUUAAAAGGUGGAUUUUGAGCUAAUGCCUCCAGGGGGCGACAGAGCCGGCCAUGAGGAUGUCUGGAGGAAGAGUCUUCCAGGCUGAGAACAACGUGACUGACAUUUUGAGGGAACGGCAGGGAGAAAGGAGGGUGAUAAGUAAGGAAUUUGCAGGAGAGAGGUCGGUGAGAUUAGGGAGCUGACCAAUGGUUUUAUGCCGUCCUCAUGCGUACACCUGAGGGUGUGUCUCCCCGUUCAUUUUUACCUUGAUGCUUUCUGCGUGCAUCACCGGGCAUGUCCAGGUGUGCACCAUUCCCCGGGGCACCAGGAUGUCCCUUAGGGCGUCCGUGCACUGGUGUGUGUCCCAGAAAUAGCCACGUCCCUCAGCCUGAGCGUCUCUGCACCCCAGGCUGCCCACAGCGCGGAGCACCCGCAAGCUACGGUCAGAUAUCGCGCGGACCCCCACCCCCGCCCUCCCGCGGGAUCACGUGAUCGCCCGCGGCUCGUUCGCUCUGCCCCCUCCAGGCGCCGGCUCCGCGCUGCGCAUGCGCUCUGGUCGUGGCCGGUCUCGUGUGGCUGCUGGUGCCGCCACAGGGCGCGCUGGGCGAGGGGCUGCAGGUGCCGCAGCAGUCCAGGGCCGCCGGUUGGCUGAACUUAGGCUCGAUCAAGAAGUACGUGGGGAGGCUUUUCAACAGCAGCUCAAAGAAAUCUAAAAACCACAAGAAAAUUGCAAACGCCGCGAACACCUCCCCACCGAAAGCCACGAAACCCCCUCCAUGGACCACCACGAAACCCCAGUGGCUGAACACCUCGGAACCCCGACCACCCGCCUCCUCCUAGGGCCCCAGGUGGGACAGCCUGUAUGCUCGGCACCGAACCAGGGGCCUCGGGACUGGGGGCAGCUGGGGUGGGAGCGAGAGGAAGCCCCCAGGGCCGGCGUGCGGGGAGAUACUGGCACCCUGGGGCUUCCUUCUCCAGGCUGGGGCUUGGCCUCCAGACGCCUAGCCCCCCCACCAACCCCUUUAUAUUGAGAGGGGCCUCAACCCCUCCUCAUCCCCUCAGUGAAAACAAUAAAGACAAAUCUCUGUUGCUUCA